GAUAAGCCAUUUACCUACCAAUUAGCUACCAGCUUAAAUCCAGCUACCACGCCCUCAUUUGUUAAUGUGAAGUAUAUUUGCUUCCUGGAAUCAAUUACAUUUAUUCUUGGCUAGACAUCUUCCCAUCUCUUCUCUCUUAUUCUUUGAUCAUCAUCACUCUCUCUUUCGUGUUUAAAGAGUAAAAGCUCCAAUUACCUCUUAAUUUUAGUUCACGAAGCAUUUGGUAUUUUGGGUGGCUUCGAUUUGUUGGGUUAUCUUGGCUGCCUCGGUGGUGGGCUUGGGUUGGCUUGAGCCUUCUUUGUGGAUGGGUUUUUGUUAUUUGGGCUUGGAGGUGGUGGCUUCUUGGAUUGGUUUGGGUGGCGGCUCAUGGUGAGAGGUUUUGCAGUCUUUUUUUAUGGCUGGAUGCUUUGUGGACCAUGUUUGGGAGCUACUUCUCUCGGCUGGGUUUCUUUCCUUUCUGGGCUCGCUGCCUUGGGCGGGCUUCUUCUGUUCAUGUCCUUUUCUUUUUUUUCAUGGCUCUCUGUUUUUUCUUUAUUUGGUUGGCUUGGUCUUCUUGGCGUGUUUUUUUCACUCGAACCUUCGCCUGAGCCAUUUCAUGGUCGGCUUCUCUCCACAAUGAUAUAGAGCAUUCAAAUAAAUCCUUGGACAGAUGGAUAUUGAGUUGUUUGUUUUUUUCAGAUGGGGUUAUGAAAAUGCAUAUGGAUGUUAUGAUUAUUUUUUUUACCAGAAAAAACAUUAACAAUGUUCAGAUAUUUUUUUUACAUUAAAGAAUAGUAUGCACCAAUGAUGUAUCAUAGCUAAGGUGGUAUUAAAGCUCGGGCAGGCCAAAAUUAAAAUGAUAACAGACAUAGAUAUUGAAUAGAAAAUGUGAGUCUAGAAUAAAGUUAUUCACCCAGCAACUUGGUAUAGUUUAUGUACUAGAUCUAUGCCGGGCCGAAUCAUUUCUUUAUUUUAGUAUAAAAAAACGAUGUUCAAAGCAUAAGUGAAUUCUAAAGAAAGAAGAAAUAUCCGUUGUUUGGAUGAAGACCCGAUUGGGUCAAAUAGAUUAAUUUUAUUUUAAUUAAAUGAUAAUAAAAUAGAUAAUGAUAUCAAAUCGAUUAAAUAAAAAAAAGAUUACAAUAACCUAGAAAAAAAUUAUUUUUCAAAAGAAAAAAAAUGAUGUAGCUCAAUUCUCAGUCACAUGAAUACUGAAGGAUAAAAUUGGGUUAAAAAAGACAAACAAACCGACCCGAGUUAACUCAAGCUGGCAUGACAAACAUGUAACUCGAGUAAUAAGGGUAGGAUAAUUCAAUAGAAAACAAAUUGAGAAAAUCAAAAGUAGAAUGAUGAAACAAAAAUAAAUCAACUAACAAAAUGAUCUAAAAUAAAUAAAUGAAAACCAAGCAAGACGAUCAAACCCCGCGACCUCGAUAAUGCUAAUGGGAUAACAAAAAAAGCUAAAAUUAAAAAAACAAUGAGGAUUAAUUUAAAAAAGAACCAAAGUUUGAAGGAAAUUUUGAAAAAAGAAAUUUUUUUUUUUUUAAAAGCAACCCCCCAUAAAAAGGCUCAAGUCAUUAUGGGUUAAUUUGCCAAAUCUAUAGCAUUGAUUAUGAGAUCAAGAUAACCCGAUAGAAAUAAAAAUAAAGAAAAUUACAUAACUCAUUUAAAACAAAUCAUUGUCAAAUGAUGACAUCAAAAAAGAAAAUGUCUAAAAAACGAGAGAGAAAAUACGUAAACCCGUUUAAACUUUUAAAACAUGUGACCUGGGUCAUUAGACCAAAAACACCCCAUUCAAA
RNAcentral lists this long non-coding RNA (1775 nucleotides) under Populus trichocarpa (black cottonwood). RNAcentral's name for it is "long non-coding RNA (PTRI_LNC001454)". Lineage: Eukaryota; Viridiplantae; Streptophyta; Magnoliopsida; Malpighiales; Salicaceae. The record is from RNAcentral.